This 253-nucleotide ribosomal RNA is filed under the name uncultured bacterium. Its description in RNAcentral is "partial 16S ribosomal RNA". It matches the Rfam family "Bacterial small subunit ribosomal RNA", at positions 524 to 776 of the family's 1533-position model. The record is from RNAcentral.
UACGUAGGUGGCAAGCGUUGUCCGGAUUUAUUGGGCGUAAAGCGCGCGCAGGCGGUUCUUUAAGUCUGAUGUGAAAGCCCCCGGCUCAACCGGGGAUGGUCAUUGGAAACUGGGGAACUUGAGUGCAGAAGAGAAGAGCGGAAUUCCACGUGUAGCGGUGAAAUGCGUAGAGAUGUGGAGGAACACCAGUGGCGAAGGCGGCUCUUUGGUCUGUAACUGACGCUGAGGCGCGAAAGCGUGGGGAGCAAAAGGG